UACGUAGGGGGCAAGCGUUGUCCGGAAUUAUUGGGCGUAAAGCGCGCGCAGGCGGCGGCUUAAGUCUGGUGUUUAAGCCCAGGGCUCAACCUUGGGACGCACUGGAAACUGGGCGGCUUGAGUGCAGGAGAGGAAAGUGGAAUUCCACGUGUAGCGGUGAAAUGCGUAGAGAUGUGGAGGAACACCAGUGGCGAAGGCGACUUUCUGGCCUGCAACUGACGCUGAGGCGCGAAAGCGUGGGGAGCAAACAGG
RNAcentral lists this ribosomal RNA (252 nucleotides) under uncultured bacterium. Its description in RNAcentral is "partial 16S ribosomal RNA". It matches the Rfam family "Bacterial small subunit ribosomal RNA", at positions 524 to 776 of the family's 1533-position model. The record is from RNAcentral.